This is a non-coding RNA of Triticum aestivum (bread wheat), 85 nucleotides long. The record is from Rfam. Lineage: Eukaryota; Viridiplantae; Streptophyta; Magnoliopsida; Poales; Poaceae.
GAGCAUAUGAUGUUACAUAGAGAUGCUACUGAGAGUUUACGUCGUUGAAGUAUCCUAAACCGAACUUUUUUAAAACUGAUGCUUG